Symphalangus syndactylus (siamang) is the source of this 2799-nucleotide long non-coding RNA. RefSeq lists it as uncharacterized. NCBI's taxonomy places the organism in Eukaryota, Metazoa, Chordata, Mammalia, Primates, Hylobatidae. The record is from RefSeq and is a predicted model, not a curated record.
AUUAGCCAGGCGUGGUGGCAGGCGCCUGUAGUCCCAGCUACUCGGGAGGCUGAGGCAGGAGAACGGCGUGGAUCUGGGAGGCGGAGCUUGCAGUGAGCCGAGAUCAGGCCACUGCACCCCAGCCUGGGUGACAGAGCGAGACUCUGUCUCAAAAAAGGAAAAAAAAAGAGAAGCUCCCUGACAUCAGAGGGUCUGUAGCAGCAUUAGGAAAACAAGCUUCUCUCACCCUCCUUUCUAUCCUCACUCAAGUUCUCCAUCUCUUCUGAGAAGAUUUCUGUCAGCUUUUCUUGAGAACAGUCUACCACGAAGGCCACACUUACUAUCACCUCAACAAAACAACAAAAAGUGAACUAUUUCACGUGUCAAAACCUACAUCAGUUCUUUGUAAGUUGAACCUGUCGCACAUAUAAUGAGCCCUGCAAGACUCCUGGGGUUGAUAAUUUGGAUGCCAUUGCAGUUCUUUCUCUACCUUAGCCUUUCAAAUUGCAAGCAAAGUAGAAGGAAGUUUUUGUUUGGCUUUGCUGCAAAAUAAUCCCAAAAUACCAUAACAUAAAACAACUUUUUUAUUGAAAAGGAAUUUAGAAUGUAUUUUGAAGUGAAUGAAAUUGAAAGUACGACAUAUUAAAAUUUGUGGAAUGCCACAUGGCAGUUCUAAGAGAGAAAUUUAUGGCAGUAAAGUGCUUUAUUAGAAAGGAAACAAAGGUCUAAGAAAGUUACCUUGGUUUCCAUCUUAAGAAACUAGAAACAAGAGCCAAUUAAACUCAAAGUAAGCAGAAGAAAUAAAGGUCUGUGCAGAAAGCAAUGAAAUAGCAAAGAAAAAUGGUAGAACAAAUCAAUAAAACAAAAAGCUAAUUCUCUGAGAAAUCAAAAAAUAUUUAUGAAACCUAUAGACAGACUGAGCAGGAAGAAGAAAGAAAUGUGAAUUAUUAAUCUCAGGAAUGAGAAAAGGAGAAAAGUGGCAUCACUACAGAUUUUACAGAUAUUAAAAUGAUGAUAAGAAAUCAGAAUAUUAAAAAUUAGUAAGGUAAGUAAUCCUGUAUGUUUGUGUGAGAAUGGAGACAAAAUAUCUCUUCUACACAGCAAAAUAAAUUGAUACUGCAUCUACUUUCUAGGGCAUAUAUACAACAGAAAACCUCAAACAGUUUUAUAAAGAGACAUAUACAAGGAUACUCAUCACAAAGUCAUAGUAAAGGGAAGCUGGAGGCAACCUAGGUGUUCAUCACAAGGGGAAUGGAUAAACAAAAUAUGGAGGAUGCAUGUAUUAGAAUACUAUGUAGUACUUGGGAGCAAGGAAGGUGAAAAGCAUAUACACAUUCACAAUCUGUGUGCACACUAAGCGACAUGUAUCACACACAUUAGAGUAGGUACCUAUGGGGGUGGAGAGAGGAAAAUGGGGAAUGGCAGUCAAGAGAUAAGGGAAGAAAGCAGAGAAGGGCUUUUACCUUGACCAAGGAUAAUAGCCUCUUAUGAACUAAGGAAUAUGAUUUACUAAACUCUGCACUGAUGUCUAGAAAGAGAGAGAAUCACAUGAACACUGUUACAUAACUCAUCACCCUUCACAACCACUGAGAUAUAAUAAAAUGGAAAAGAAAAACUUUAGGGAGUGAACUUGUAUACAGCACUGACAUUAUAUGACAUAGACAUUCAAAUGAAAAUUAGGACAAACUGAUUUUAUUAGGUAAUUAUUUAUUUCAGUUAGCCUGCCAAAUUCAGAAAAGUAAAAUCCUCAGCUGAAUUACACUGAUAUAAGUUAAUAAUUUCACAUUCUAAGGUCACAUGAAUAUUAGCAAGUUUUGCCAAAGUUAUUUAUUGCCAUAAAUAAUGAUACAUAAAUGGAGUUGAUAAACUGAGGUUUUCUCUCAAGAACUGUAUAGAAAAGCAAAUCUUUUCUCCAUCUUCUUGGGAAUAGAGGUAUAGUAUAUUUAAAUGGUUUUCUCCUUGUCUCUCUCUUGCUUCAGUUUUUCCAUCUGGAGAGACAGUUUAUGUAACUGUAGGGCCACUAUUGAGACCCUGCGACUUGGGAGACAGCGUAAGAGGGUUUUGCCUGCCGUGACUAUGUCACAGCCUUCAGAGACUUUCUGAGAGGAAAUCAAAAUGAAAGGAAAUGAAUGGAAAGAGGAAAUCAAAGCUUUUCAGGAAGGCUUGUGACAGGAGGAUUAGAAGGCAAUAAUCAGAAUCAGCACAAGCAAAGAGGAAGCUUAAGCUGCAGGGGCAUCCAGUUCUACUAAUUCACCAGAAAAACACAUCAGAUAAUAGAGAAAUACUGAGGCCCAGGGCCAAGACAACUGGUUAAUAAGACUCUGCUGACCUCCUGUAAAACAAACGCAAUAAACUUUGCUACCACCACAGAUUUAUCACAAUGUUUCAAGGUAGAAAGAACCAGUACCUGUAAACACCUUAUAAAUUAACCCUAACAACUGAGACCAUCCUUUAGGAGAUAUUACUACUUUUCCCAUUUUAUGAACCAUCCUAUUUUCCUAUCAUUUAUUUUGAGGUAUCAUAUAUAAAAUUCAUUGAAUGCAUAUUAUUCAUCCUCUUGCACUUGGACACAUCCAGACUCCAAGAUUUGUUCUCUGAGGAAAAGACACUCUGGGGGCCAAACAUCCAAUAGCCAGGGUCAUAUUGGGUGGUGACAGUUUCAAGGCUGGUAUACCGAUUCUUCUCCAUAGACAGCUUUGCAUUUAAUAUUUCUGGUUUUAGGUACAGAGCUGUAGUCAAAACACAUUACCUUAGCAUCUUAGGAAUCUCAGAAAAAACACAUUUGGACACUGAUAAUUGAUAAAAGGGAUAAGAAAUCUU